ACGCUGGCGGCGUGCCUAAUACAUGCAAGUAGAACGCUGAAGGAGGAGCUUGCUUCUCCGGAUGAGUUGCGAACGGGUGAGUAACGCGUAGGUAACCUGCCUGGUAGCGGGGGAUAACUAUUGGAAACGAUAGCUAAUACCGCAUAACAGUAGAUGUUGCAUGACAUUUGCUUAAAAGGUGCAAUUGCAUCACUACCAGAUGGACCUGCGUUGUAUUAGCUAGUUGGUGGGGUAACGGCUCACCAAGGCGACGAUACAUAGCCGACCUGAGAGGGUGAUCGGCCACACUGGGACUGAGACACGGCCCAGACUCCUACGGGAGGCAGCAGUAGGGAAUCUUCGGCAAUGGACGGAAGUCUGAUCGAGCAACGCCGCGUGAGUGAAGGAGGUUUUCGGAUCGUAAAGCUCUGUUGUAAGAGAAGAACGAGUGUGAGAGUGGAAAGUUCACACUGUGACGGUAUCUUACCAGAAAGGGACGGCUAACUACGUGCCAGCAGCCGCGGUAAUACGUAGGUCCCGAGCGUUGUCCGGAUUUAUUGGGCGUAAAGCGAGCGCAGGCGGUUAGAUAAGUCUGAAGUUAAAGGCUGUGGCUUAACCAUAGUACGCUUUGGAAACUGUUUAACUUGAGUGCAAGAGGGGAGAGUGGAAUUCCAUGUGUAGCGGUGAAAUGCGUAGAUAUAUGGAGGAACACCGGUGGCGAAAGCGGCUCUCUGGCUUGUAACUGACGCUGAGGCUCGAAAGCGUGGGGAGCAAACAGGCUUAGAUACCCUGGUAGUCCACGCCGUAAACGAUGAGUGCUAGGUGUUAGACCCUUUCCGGGGUUUAGUGCCGCAGCUAACGCAUUAAGCACUCCGCCUGGGGAGUACGACCGCAAGGUUGAAACUCAAAGGAAUUG
RNAcentral lists this ribosomal RNA (895 nucleotides) under uncultured bacterium. RNAcentral's name for it is "bacterial SSU rRNA". It matches the Rfam family "Bacterial small subunit ribosomal RNA", at positions 33 to 912 of the family's 1533-position model. The record is from RNAcentral.